This 498-nucleotide ribosomal RNA is filed under the name uncultured bacterium. RNAcentral's name for it is "bacterial SSU rRNA". It matches the Rfam family "Bacterial small subunit ribosomal RNA", at positions 29 to 526 of the family's 1533-position model. The record is from RNAcentral.
AAUGAACGCUGGCGGCGUGCCUAACACAUGCAAGUCGAGCGAGAAAACCCUUCGGGGUGAGUAAAGCGGCGGACGGGUGAGUAACACGUGAGAACCUUCCCUUUAGUGAAGAAUAUCUUUGAGAAAUCAAAGUUAAUGCUGCAUGAGUCCCGAAAGGGAGAAAGAUGGCUUUUAUGCUGUCGCUGAAGGAUGGGCUUGCGGACUAUUAGCUAGUUGGUGGGGUAAUGGCUCACCAAGGCAGUGAUGGUUAACCGGCUUGAGAGGGUGUACGGUCACAUUGGAACUGAGAAACGGUCCAGACUCUUACGGGAGGCAGCAGUGGGGAAUAUUGCGCAAUGGGCGAAAGCCUGACGCAGCGACGCCGCGUGGGGGAUGAAGGCCUUCGGGUUGUAAACUCCUGUUAGGUGGGAAGAAAGCCUCUUUUUUAAUAGAAAAGAGGUAUGACGGUACCAUCAGAGAAAGCACUGGCUAAUCUCGUGCCAGCAGCCGCCGUAAAAC